Molecule: long non-coding RNA, 1045 nt
Filed under: Monodelphis domestica (gray short-tailed opossum)
Lineage: Eukaryota; Metazoa; Chordata; Mammalia; Didelphimorphia; Didelphidae
Description: lncRNA (ENSMODG00000050154.1)
Source: RNAcentral
AGCAUUAAGAGAGAGACUUGAAUUAGAAGGAAAUGAAUAACAGGUGCUUUGAUGCUCCAGCCAGCCUGAAAAUUUAGGACAGACAGCUCACCAGAAAAGUUCUCGACUCUAGCUAAGAUAAUGAAGGUAAGUUAUAAAGAAAUGUGUGUGUGUGUGUGUGUGUGUGUGUGUGUGUGUGUGUGCCAGAAACUGAAUAUAAGAUUAGAAUUUAAAAGUGCUCAGACAUGAGGUAUACAGUUGUCAUCAUCAUCAUCUGUUCCUCCCCUUCUCUUUCUCUUCCUCUUCUCUCUUUCUCUCUUUCUCUCUCUCUCUCUCUUUCUUUCUUUCUUUCUUUCUUUCUUUCUUUCUUUCUUUCUUUCUUUCUUUCUUUCUUUCUUUCUUUCUUUCUUUCUUUCUUUCUUUCUUUCUUUCUUUCUUUCUUUCUCUCUUUCUUUCUCCUUCCUCCCUUUCUUUCUUUCUUUCUUUCUUCCUUUCUUUCUUUCUUUCUUUCUUUCUUCUUUCUUUCUUUCUUUCUUUCUUUCUUUCUUUCUUUCUUUCUUUCUUUCUUUCUUUCUUUCUUUCUUUCUUUCUUUCUUUCUUUCUUUCUUUCUUUCUUUCUUUCUUUCUUUCUUUCUUUCUUUCUUUCUUCUUCUUCUUCUUCUUCUUCUUCUUCUUCUUCUUCUUCUUCUUCUUCUUCUUCUUCUUCCUUUUCCUCUUCCUUCUUCUCUUUCUCCUCUUUUUCUUUUUUCUCCUCCUCCUUUUCUUCUCCUCUUCCUCUUCUUCAAGGAAGAACCAACUCACCUUGAUGAGGCAGAGGGUUUCUGUGCAUUUUUUCAUUCAAUGGAUCAUAUAUAGAAUACCAUCUGUUAUUUAGAGUCAGUGGUAGCCAUCCUCUUUUCUGGUUACUCAGCAAUUGUACUCUUUAUUUCAGUACUUCAAGAAUCCAAGUUUAAAGUGCUGUGGAUACUCCUUCCACCGAACCAGAUUGUAAUCUUUUAGCAUCAUAGAAGAGAAUCUUUACGGGCUGUGAAUGUAGCUGAAAAAUAAAAUCAUUCCUUGUAAGUCA